Molecule: ribosomal RNA, 1429 nt
Filed under: Dactylosternum auripes
Lineage: Eukaryota; Metazoa; Arthropoda; Insecta; Coleoptera; Hydrophilidae
Description: SSU rRNA
Rfam family: Eukaryotic small subunit ribosomal RNA
Source: RNAcentral
CAAGGAAGGCAGCAGGCGCGCAAAUUACCCACUCCCGGCACGGGGAGGUAGUGACGAAAAAUAACGAUACGGGACUCAUCCGAGGCCCCGUAAUCGGAAUGAGUACACUCUAAACCCUUUAACGAGGAUCAAUUGGAGGGCAAGUCUGGUGCCAGCAGCCGCGGUAAUUCCAGCUCCAAUAGCGUAUAUUAAAGUUGUUGCGGUUAAAAAGCUCGUAGUCGAAUCUGUGUCUCCCGCCGCCGGUUCAUCGCUCGCGGUGUUUAACUGGCGUGCCGAGGGACGUCCUGCCGGUGGGCUCUGCUCUUUCGGGGGCGGCCCAACUUAGAAUCCCACCGCGGUGCUCUUUGCUGAGUGUCGGGGUGGGCCGGCACGUUUACUUUGAACAAAUUAGAGUGCUUAAAGCAGGCUAAAAUUUCGCCUGAAUAUUCUGUGCAUGGAAUAAUGGAAUAGGACCUCGGUUCUAUUUUGUUGGUUUUCGGAACCCCGAGGUAAUGAUUAAUAGGAACGGAUGGGGGCAUUCGUAUUGCGACGUUAGAGGUGAAAUUCUUGGAUCGUCGCAAGACGGACGGAAGCGAAAGCAUUUGCCAAAAACGUUUUCAUUGAUCAAGAACGAAAGUUAGAGGUUCGAAGGCGAUCAGAUACCGCCCUAGUUCUAACCAUAAACGAUGCCAGCUAGCGAUCCGCCGACGUUCCUCCGAUGACUCGGCGGGCAGCUUCCGGGAAACCAAAGCUUUUGGGUUCCGGGGGAAGUAUGGUUGCAAAGCUGAAACUUAAAGGAAUUGACGGAAGGGCACCACCAGGAGUGGAGCCUGCGGCUUAAUUUGACUCAACACGGGAAACCUCACCAGGCCCGGACACCGGAAGGAUUGACAGAUUGAGAGCUCUUUCUUGAUUCGGUGGGUGGUGGUGCAUGGCCGUUCUUAGUUGGUGGAGCGAUUUGUCUGGUUAAUUCCGAUAACGAACGAGACUCUAGCCUGCUAACUAGGCGUAUUUUCGACAUCUCAAAGGCCCCACGGCCCGGCGUUUUCGCGCCGAGGUCGCGCGCGGUUUUUACUGUCGGCGUACAAUCAAUUCUUCUUAGAGGGACAGGCGGCGUCUAGCCGCACGAGAUUGAGCAAUAACAGGUCUGUGAUGCCCUUAGAUGUUCUGGGCCGCACGCGCGCUACACUGAAGGAAUCAGCGUGUCCUCCCUGGCCGAGAGGCCCGGGUAACCCGCUGAACCUCCUUCGUGCUAGGGAUUGGGGCUUGCAAUUGUUCCCCAUGAACGAGGAAUUCCCAGUAAGCGCGAGUCAUAAGCUCGCGUUGAUUACGUCCCUGCCCUUUGUACACACCGCCCGUCGCUACUACCGAUUGAAUGAUUUAGUGAGGUCUUCGGACCGGUACGCGGCGGCGUUAACGCGUCGCCGAUGUUGCUGGGAAGAUGACCAAA